Molecule: long non-coding RNA, 2917 nt
Organism: Paramacrobiotus metropolitanus
Lineage: Eukaryota; Metazoa; Tardigrada; Eutardigrada; Parachela; Macrobiotidae
Exons: 3
Source: RefSeq, a predicted model, not a curated record
AAUAUUAAAGCAAGUAGGUACUGACAUGAAACAAAAUUUACAUAGCGCAGCGCAGUUGCAGCUUUGCGAUCAGCCGGCAAAUUGGGUACAGACGCGUAACCGACCGUAAUCAAUGAUACCACGAAACCAUGGAAACGUGCAUUGUUGGGUGACUGCUGAUGCGGCGGACAUUCACCAGCAGCGGCUGCAGUUGCAUAAAUCAAGGACACACUCAAUGGCAGAGCGCGCUUAAUAUCCUAUCCCGGGAGUGCGUAACCAGAAUGCAAUGGAUAAAAAUAAUACAUAAUACAGUACCCACCACGGAAGACCCUUGCGAAAGCGCCAUCCGCAGCCGAUACAGUUGAACACGGUAGCGGUUCAUGAUCGUACUCACAUAGCAGCAGCUUCCUGCACAAGGCACCGCCCGCGCAAAUAUGCCGGCAAGUCCAAAUGCUGCUCGUGCUAAUCCUUUUCAAGGAUGAUUCUUAAUCAAAGGUGAACAACCCCAGUCGCCGAGAGCUUUUCCCCAGCUAACACGAGAUGACGUUUCCUGGAUGGACGGCAGGUUUUUAAUCAUUUCUAUACUACCAAUCCACCGACAGGAGCCGGUCUCCGACGGUCGCGGCAAAACAAUAAGCGGUCUCCUCGUCUUCCUCGACCAGAUUGUCCAGGCGGCGCCCACCAAAACCCUGGUUCAUUAUUCCGUUUUCUUCAUCAACUGUCGGAUUUGUCUGUGCGAAAACAAUAAUGCUACGGUAAGGACACAAGGAAUAACAUACGAAUUAUCACAAUUUACAGGAUUAAGCGCUACAGCUAUCUGAUAAUACGUGUUGUACAAAUGCCCUUCUGUCGAAAUGGUCGGACACGAUCGUAAUGUAUUAAGAGUCCAAACCACAUCAAUCUAAUAUUUUGUAACAUUUGUCCCUUCUGGACGCUCAGUCAUUUCGGUCUCGAACACAUUCCGAUUGCGUCCUUGAACAAAUUCUGUUUACUCCAUGCAUAACUUCGUCCAAAAUUUGAAAUCGCUAUCAUCAUUUUGCUGUACGCUGAUUCUUGUGCAGUAAGCUUGACCUAUGUAAUAAUAUAAAUACACAUUAUUAAUACACACCUUCCGAUCGCGAUCGGCCAGGGCAUUCUUAAACUUUUGCGCGUUCACAGCGUAGAGGACGGCAUCGUGCACAGUGACGAACAGUUGGUAAUCUUUGAUAUGCUCCAUUGCGCCGCAAAGGGCCAGUAUGUCCCGUACAGGUUCUGUUGGAAAAAAUCUUGCCAUAUAUUCUCAUUAAAACUGACCUUUCAACUUCCCAGCAAAAGGUUUUUAUACCGUUCCAAGUUUAUAAUUUUUUUUAUAAUUUGCUUACUGUUUGUACAGGCUAGUAGUAGCUCCACUCCCACACUCUCACAUUCGGCUUUGCAGACUUUUAAGAAACCGACCCCUGUCACAUCGAUAAAGCAGAUCUCCGAACAAUCAAUUAUCAGGUGUCUCACUGGAAGAUUCUCCUCGUCGUCUUCGCGAUCAUUCGACUGAGUCCGGACCACCAGUCCUUUGGAACUUGUAAACAAUUCUUCCAUACUGAUGGUUGAUCCGCCAAAUCUGCUACCGAAUUCCAGUGCUUCUUCCCUAGCAUUUCUAUCUUCGCCAAGUUGUAAAUGCAAUGAAUAGGCAUAAUUCGUAGCGUCGUCCGGAAUUCCAGGAACUCCAUCCGGCGCUUUUGGAUGGUCUUCCUGGUGCUUCUGAAUAAGGUUCUGAAUGUCGGCCAAAGCAUACAAACGCUGCUUAAUGUACGCCACAUUGGCGAAAUAUAUUGGUGCAUCGACUCGAACGAUUUUUACACCUGGAACUUCUGUAGCCUGCAAGCAACAAUAAACUGUCCAAGACGUAAUUUUGCACUAUAAAAGCGAGCGCUGCAGAUUAAUGGAGUUGCACGAGAAAGCACACUGUACAAUUGAUUUGGAUGCUUACGGUUCUGUAAACGUCAGUACGGCGGUAUAUAUCGGUACCAGGAAGACGUCCAAGAGGACCGACUUUUGGUUUCUGUAGUCGUAACAUAAUAGUCAUAAUCGCCCAGCCCACACCGAUCCCCAGGCCCACAUCCACAUCCAAAAUCAGAACACCCAAAAACACCACAAGGAAGAUGGACUGCAAAAAAAAGCGUUUUACUACAGCAGCAACAUAAUCACAACAAUCAAGUAAUUUCCAAACUAACUGAUACUUUACUAAUUAACUACGCAAAUUUCCAGGUUUGUAAGAUAUAACACGAGCUUUUAAGUUUUAACUAUGGCUCAUGGCAGAGCUUUUUAUUACGUGUAGCACUCGGUCGUCGGAAUUCAUUACCGGUAUAAUUUUACUGGUCAAGUUGUAACCGGUCAGUCUGUGCUAUUCCCAGUACGAAAGAAACGGGCAAUUUUUCAGCUAACGAUUGUAAGUACCGUAGUAUAGAAAUUUAGGAUGUCCUCACCCAGUCAACAAGUGAAAGCUUCCAUAAUCUGCGCAACUGCACAACUUGAGCCAACAAAUGAAAUACAGACACCAUGACAAUCGCUCCAAGUGCCGGUUUAGGCAACGGCUGCAAAUAUCUCCCCAAAAAGAGCAUCACGAUCAAAACAAUGAUGCACUGGACAACACUGACGAUUUGAGUCUUCCCGCCGACAUCAUUUUGCACGGCACUGCGCGCAACGGAAGCGCCUUGCGGAAAGCACCGGAACCAGCAGCUAAAUAUAUUACCGAUGCCCUGCGCCUUAAAUUCUUGGUUGGGAUCAAUGGUGUACCCUGUAAACAUUUUGUACAAACCGCUAGUAUUGUACACAUGUACAUAUUGUACUCGCAUGUCUAACGAACAGUAACUAGGAAUAUAUGUCGGCUGUCGCUACUAAAAACUUGCAAACCAAAACCCUAUUGUAUCAUUCCACUGGAGCCAAUGCCGUAAUAAAAAGGUGU